RNAcentral lists this small nuclear RNA (191 nucleotides) under Sitophilus oryzae (rice weevil). RNAcentral describes it as "U2 spliceosomal RNA". It matches the Rfam family "U2 spliceosomal RNA". Rfam says of the family: U2 is a small nuclear RNA (snRNA) component of the spliceosome (involved in pre-mRNA splicing). Complementary binding between U2 snRNA (in an area lying towards the 5' end but 3' to hairpin I) and the branchpoint sequence (BPS) of the intron results the bulging out of an unpaired adenosine, on the BPS, which initiates a nucleophilic attack at the intronic 5' splice site, thus starting the first of two transesterification reactions that mediate splicing. Lineage: Eukaryota; Metazoa; Arthropoda; Insecta; Coleoptera; Curculionidae. The record is from Rfam by way of RNAcentral.
AUCGCUUCUCGGCCUUUUGGCUAAGAUCAAAGUGUAGUAUCUGUUCUUAUCAGCUUAAUAUCUGAUACGCCCCGCAUGCGGGGCCAGUAUAUUAAACUGAUUUUUGGAAAUUGACGGAGGUUAGGGGCUUGCUCCACCUCUGUCACGGGUUGGCCUGGUAUUGCAGUACCGCCAGGAUCGGCCCACUUUUU